GUAUUGUCUUUUAAAAUGGUAGUAACUUCUUGUGACCAGCUUUUUCUCCUUUGAACUUGGCCUUGGAGGAGCUCCGACUUGGGACCUCAGACUGCUCUUGGAUCUUCCCUUUGGACUGCCACAUGGGAUGGAUUUGAUGAAAGCUCAAGAGAAGAGAGAUCUUGGAUUCUAGUUUCAAGAGAGAAGACAUGCAGUUUCAUACUUCAAGUUCCUGAAGGGAGAGGAAGACUGGAGAAAAGGUCAACAUGAGGAGAAGUCAUGAAAUUUUCCCUAUGCCCAGUUUAUCACAUUAAAGACUUUAGGAAAUUAUCCUUGAAAUUGUCUUGGUUGAA
Molecule: long non-coding RNA, 332 nt
Filed under: Monodelphis domestica (gray short-tailed opossum)
Lineage: Eukaryota; Metazoa; Chordata; Mammalia; Didelphimorphia; Didelphidae
Description: lncRNA (ENSMODG00000034459.2)
Source: RNAcentral